UGGCGGACGGGUGAGUAAUGUCUGGGAAACUGCCCGAUGGAGGGGGAUAACUACUGGAAACGGUAGCUAACACCGCAUAACGUCGCAAGACCAAAGAGGGGGACCUUAGGGCCUCUUGCCAUCGGAUGUGCCCAGAUGGGAUUAGCUAGUAGGUGGGGUAACGGCUCACCUAGGCGACGAUCCCUAGCUGGUCUGAGAGGAUGACCAGCCACACUGGAACUGAGACACGGUCCAG
This 235-nucleotide ribosomal RNA is filed under the name uncultured bacterium. Its description in RNAcentral is "partial 16S ribosomal RNA". It matches the Rfam family "Bacterial small subunit ribosomal RNA", at positions 96 to 334 of the family's 1533-position model. The record is from RNAcentral.